This 797-nucleotide ribosomal RNA is filed under the name Cytophagaceae bacterium. RNAcentral's name for it is "partial 23S ribosomal RNA". It matches the Rfam family "Bacterial large subunit ribosomal RNA", at positions 1227 to 1914 of the family's 2925-position model. The record is from RNAcentral. Lineage: Bacteria; Pseudomonadati; Bacteroidota; Cytophagia; Cytophagales; Cytophagaceae.
GGUAGGGGAGCGUCGUGUGGGCAGUGAAGCGGCGGAGUGAUCCAGCCGUGGAGGCCACGCGAGUGAGAAUGCAGGCAUGAGUAGCGAAUGGGGAGUGAGAACCUCCCCCACCGAAUGACCAAGGGUUCCUGGGCCAGGUUAAUCCGCCCAGGGUGAGUCGGGACCUAAGACGAGGCCGACAGGCGUAGCCGAUGGACAACGGGUUGAUAUUCCCGUACCCGCGUAGAAGCGCCCAUGGCGAACGAUUUGAUGCUAAACGCCCGGACCUAGCCGGCCCUUCGGGGAAGGUGUGGCGAGCGCGUGACCCGAUUUUCUAGUAGUUAAGCGAUGGGGUGACACAGGAAGGUAGCUCCGCCCGUCAGUGGUAACACGGGUGUAAGGGUGUAGGUAGCGGGGCCAGGCAAAUCCGGUUCCGUGUUGAUCUGAGACCUGAUGCAUAGCCGAUUGAGGCGAAGUAGAGUGAUCCUAUGCUGUCGAGAAAAGCCUCUAGCGAGCUCUGAGCGGCCCGUACCCCAAACCGACACAGGUGGUCAGGUAGAGAAUACCAAGGUGAUCGAGCGAACUAUGGUUAAGGAACUCGGCAAAAUACCCCCGUAACUUCGGGAGAAGGGGGGCCGGGGUGUGUGAAUUCCCCUUGCGGGAUAAGCGCGUUCCGGCCGCAGAGACCAGGGAGAAGCGACUGUUUACUAAAAACACAGGUCCAUGCGAAGUCGCAAGACGAUGUAUAUGGACUGACGCCUGCCCGGUGCUGGAAGGUUAAGAGGACGGGUCAACUGUCAUGGUGAAGCUCAGAAUUU